RNAcentral lists this ribosomal RNA (1698 nucleotides) under Clostridioides difficile DA00244. RNAcentral's name for it is "bacterial LSU rRNA". It matches the Rfam family "Bacterial large subunit ribosomal RNA", at positions 1207 to 2925 of the family's 2925-position model. The record is from RNAcentral. Lineage: Bacteria; Bacillati; Bacillota; Clostridia; Peptostreptococcales; Peptostreptococcaceae.
AUCAGUAAUGAUGGGUAGGGGAGCUUCCCAUACGGGUUGAAGCAUGACCGUAAGGACAUGUGGACAGUAUGGGAGUGAGAAUGUUGGCAUGAGUAGCGAGAUGUGGGUGAGAAUCCCACAGGCCGUAAACCCAAGGUUUCCAGGGGAAGGUUCGUCCGCCCUGGGUUAGUCGGGACCUAAGCUGAGGCCGAAAGGCGUAGGUGAUGGACAACAGGUUGAUAUUCCUGUACCACCGGUAACCGUUUGAGAGAAGGGAUGACACAGUAGGAUAAGCUAAGCACACUGUUGGUUAUGUGUGCCCAAGCAUUGAGGCAGUCAAAGUAGGCAAAUCCGCUUUGAUAAUGCUGGGAUGUGAUGGGGAGCGAAAUUUAGUAGCGAAGUAGCUGAUUUCACACUGUCAAGAAAAGUCUCUAUCGAGGUUAAAGGUACCCGUACCGCAAACCGACACAGGUGGGUGAGGAGAGUAUCCUAAGGCCAGCGAGAGAACUGUUGUUAAGGAACUCGGCAAAAUGACCCCGUAACUUAGGGAUAAGGGGUGCCACCAUCAGGUGGCCGCAGAGAAUAGGCCCAAGCGACUGUUUACCAAAAACAUAGGUUUCUGCUAAGUCGCAAGACGAUGUAUAGGAGCUGACGCCUGCCCGGUGCUGGAAGGUUAAGGGGAUCUGUUAGAGCAAUCGAAGCAGUGAACUUAAGCCCCAGUAAACGGCGGCCGUAACUAUAACGGUCCUAAGGUAGCGAAAUUCCUUGUCGGGUAAGUUCCGACCCGCACGAAAGGCGUAACGAUUUGGGCACUGUCUCAACAACAGAGUCGGUGAAAUUGUAAUUCCGGUGAAGAUGCCGGAUACCUGCGACAGGACGGAAAGACCCCAUGGAGCUUUACUGUAGCUUGACAUUGGGUCUUGGUACUACAUGUACAGGAUAGGUGGGAGGCUUUGAAACCAGGACGCCAGUUUUGGCGGAGCCAUCCUUGGGAUACCACCCUUGUAGUACUGGGACUCUAACCAUAGGCCAUGAAUCUGGUCUUGGGACACUGUCAGGUGGGCAGUUUGACUGGGGCGGUCGCCUCCCAAAAGGUAACGGAGGCGCUCAAAGGUUCUCUCAGUACGGUCGGAAAUCGUACGUAGAGUGUAAAGGCAAAAGAGAGCUUGAUUGCAAGACAUACAGGUCGAGCAAGGAUGAAAAUCGGACUUAGUGAUCCGGUGGUUCUGCGUGGAAGGGCCAUCGCUCAACGGAUAAAAGCUACCCUGGGGAUAACAGGCUUAUCUCCCCCAAGAGUCCACAUCGACGGGGAGGUUUGGCACCUCGAUGUCGGCUCAUCACAUCCUGGGGCUGUAGUAGGUCCCAAGGGUUGGGCUGUUCGCCCAUUAAAGUGGUACGCGAGCUGGGUUCAGAACGUCGUGAGACAGUUCGGUCCCUAUCCGUCGCAGGCGUAGGAAAUUUGAGAAGACCUGUCCUUAGUACGAGAGGACCGGGAUGGACGUACCUCUGGUGUACCAGUUGUCCUGCCAAGGGCAUGGCUGGGUAGCUAUGUACGGAAUGGAUAAGCGCUGAAAGCAUCUAAGCGCGAAGCCAACUUCAAGAUAAGAUUUCCCACCGCAAGGGUAAGACCCCAGAAAGACUAUCUGGUUGAUAGGUCGAAGGUGUAAGUGCAGCAAUGUAUUUAGCUUAUCGAUACUAAUAGGUCGAGGACUUGACCAA